GUGAAACCCUUUCUCGGUUUGUAGAACAUUAGAAAACAUGGCUACCAGAACAGAAAUUACAUCACACACUCAGAAUGAGGCAUGGAGCCCUGAUGCAGGCGUAAGUACGAAUGGUGCCUCCACUGGAGCGGUCCAAGGGAGGCACCUAAAGGGAUUUUUAAAUAGAAGGUGGAACAAAUGGAAUUAUUACUGCAAAUGGAUUUAAUUGCCCUGAAGACAUCUGUGCAUUAGCGGACAAAUGGAUUUAAUUGCCCUGAAGACAUCUGUGCAUUAGCGGAAUUUGGUGAGUGCAAUAUUAAUCAAAGCUGUGUUUAC
Molecule: non-coding RNA, 315 nt
Organism: Pelobates cultripes (western spadefoot toad)
Lineage: Eukaryota; Metazoa; Chordata; Amphibia; Anura; Pelobatidae
Source: the annotation of a GenBank genome assembly